AAGCGAGCGGCGGGCGGAAGGAAGGAAGGAGGCGGCUUCCCGAAGGCGGGAUUUCUUACUGAUCAUGGAGGCUGGAGAAUUUUCUUCAAGGUGACCCUUUCCACCCGCGACUCAUGCCUUCAGUGACAAGUGACAGUGGAUGCCUCUGGGAGACUGGGGAAAAGGGGGACUUUUCCCUCAAAACUUCUAGAGCUUCGGAAGGAUUGUCACGGUUGCCGAAACGGAGGGAAGGAGUGAGAUAAUUUGGAUGUAUCAAGGAGGAGCAAGGAGUACACUUACCUCCAUCAACUCAAUAUAAUUGACUCUUGGCCCUAAUGUUUGUUCAGGGCUCAGGUAGGUUUCAAGUAAGCCAAGGAGGUGAAGGGAAUAAAUAUUUGAAGAAACAGGAAUUGCUUAUUCAGAUUAGGGUUACAGGAGACACACUGGAAGGGUUUGUUUGGCAAGAGAGGGGAGUGGAGAGGAUAUACAGUUUGUGGAUUAAGAGUUUGUUACAAAAAGAACGACGUAGGCUGGGACUCCUGCAAAUUAGUGAUGCAUCAUGGCAUCGGUCCUGAGAGGCUUACCUUGUAAUUCUCUUCAUGGUGUGUUGGCCUUGGGGCUAGUGGUUAUUCUUUCAGAAACUGGGAGUUCUAGAUUAAUCUGCUACAAUUAGCUCAGUUAGUUUGGCGGAGGCUCAGAGCCUCCCCAAACCUCAGUUUUUCCAUCUAUACAGUGAAGAAUGGUCUAAGUAAUCUCGUGAACUUCGGACAUUUAAAAUAUAUCUGAGAGGAAAGAGAUAGGGUCAUGCCACACAUGAGUUUGCAAUACUGGAAAUAAAUAUUUUAUCUUGCAAAUCAAUGAUGUAUCAAGGGUUAAUAUUAGGAAUAAAGAGAUUAUCUGAGAGUUUAUACAUAUGCCUCAUUGGCUUCAAAGUAUGUUAGUGAUUUCAACAAAAUAGAGAUACGUGACAAAACAAUCCAGCAUAGUUUAGAGAUAUUUGAUAAUGCCUUCCUGCUAAAGCAAAGACACUUUGUUAACUCGCAAAUAUGAAAUAGUAAUAGGUUUAUGAUAUCUUAAAUAUUAAGUAAUAAUUAAAGUUGAAACUGAAUUGCCAACCCUUAUCCCUCAUCCUCUUUCCAUUCUUAUUCUCCUUCCCAUUCAGUCUGUGUUAUUAGUUAACUGUAUUAUUGUUACUAUAACAGUAGAAUAAUGCAUAAAGGAGACACUUGAAAGUAUCCAAUCAUAAUUGGUGAAGGCAAGGAGUUAGGAGGUUCAUUCAAUCAAGAAUGAAAAUGCUUCUUCACAAUAAAAUGUUAAAUAUUUUAAUAUUUAGACUAAUUUUCUACCAACUUACUUAGUUGAAUUGAUGGAUUGAUUCAGUCAACCCUGUAACCAAACUAAUAAUCUACUGGUUAAAAACUUUAUUUCAAUCCAAAUGUGGAACAGCUUUGGGUCCCAUCAGAUGAUGGAUCUUAUCAGCUGAUAAGGAAUUUGUCCUGAUGUCUUGAUUUUAGCCAACUUUGGUGUCCUGGUAGGUGUUUUGUUGAAUGGCUUAGACUCUUCUUCAAAGAGAGAGAUGUCUAAGAGAAAAAGCAGGAAUUUGAGCUUUGUUGGGAAAGAAUAUUGCAUAAAAUCAAAGCAGGGUAAUGUGGACAUUACAGAUUCCUUAUUUGCAAAUAAAAAUUAUACAUAUGUAAUAUAUAUAAUUAUAUAUAACUAUAUAUGUAAUAUAAAUAUAAAAAUAUUAAAAAUAUAAUAUAUAAAAUAAUAUAAAAUUACGUAUGUAUAAUUUAGCUCCAAUAUAUAUUAUAUAUAUAUACAAUAUAUUGGAGCUAAAACCUUAUACAUGUGAAUUAAUUUCACUAACUUAGAGCAAAAAAUUAAAAAUUGGAAAAUUUUAUUAGUUUAAAAGUGUAUAUGUGUAAAAGUAGUUUAGAAAUUUCUUUAUCUUAACAAUAUCGAAUGGAAUUUAAAUGUUUGAGAAACCCCGCAUAUCGGUUUAUUUCAUACUAGGUAUUUCAACUACAGUUUGGGUAAUUGGCCACUAGGUGGCAGGACUGUGAUGUGCAUGUAGGUCAGAAGACCCCGUAAAGGGACACUGUAGGCAUAGAUCAUUUAAAAAGUCGGUACCUGGAAUUCCUUGCAAUACAGUUUAAAUGCACAAGUUAAGCAAAUACUUAUAUGAUAGGGUUUUUUGUAAACGCUGGAGACACAAAAUGAAUGUUAUAUAACCUAUGUCACCAAACAGAUGAUAGUUGGAGAUAGGUGUGUGGGGGUUUUUUGUUUUUGUCUUUGAAGGCCCUAAUAGAAUGUGGUAAACACUAUGACAGGUUUUUUAUUUCAAAAUAUAAUGGGACCAUAGGGACUAAAGAAAUUAGUUCUGCCGGUGGUGAUGAUGUUGAAACAAGGAGUUCUUGGAAAGUUACAGAGAAUGUAACUUGUCUUCUGAAAAGCAAAACAAAAAACAAUCUAAAACAAAAAGCACAAAAAUAAAUUAUCUUUUGUUAUGGGUAAAGUGGCAGUGUAAAACUUUAAAUAAAAUUUAAAGAAACGAAA
Molecule: long non-coding RNA, 2535 nt
Filed under: Canis lupus familiaris (dog)
Lineage: Eukaryota; Metazoa; Chordata; Mammalia; Carnivora; Canidae
Description: lncRNA (ENSCAFG00000053725.1)
Source: RNAcentral